GACGAACGCUGGCGGCGUGCUUAACACAUGCAAGUCGAACGGAAAGGCCCUGCUUUUGUGGGGUGCUCGAGUGGCGAACGGGUGAGUAACACGUGAGUAACCUGCCCUUGACUUUGGGAUAACUUCAGUAAACUGGGGCUAAUACCGGAUAGGAGCUCCUUCUGCAUGGUGGUGGUUGGAAAGUUUCGGCGUUUGGGGAUGGACUCGCGGCUUAUCAGCUUGUUGGUGGGGUAGUGGCUUACCAAGGCUUUGACGGGUAGCCGGCCUGAGAGGGUGACCGGCCACAUUGGGACUGAGAUACGGCCAAGACUCCUACGGGAGGAAGCAGUGGGGGAUAGUGCACAAUGGGCGGAAGCCUGAUGCAGCAACGCCGCGUGCGGGAUGACGGCCUUCGGGUUGUAAACCGCUUUCGCCUGUGACGAAGCGUGAGUGACGGUAAUGGGUAAAGAAGCACCGGCUAACUACGUG
RNAcentral lists this ribosomal RNA (468 nucleotides) under uncultured bacterium. RNAcentral describes it as "partial 16S ribosomal RNA". It matches the Rfam family "Bacterial small subunit ribosomal RNA", at positions 28 to 507 of the family's 1533-position model. The record is from RNAcentral.